RNAcentral lists this ribosomal RNA (493 nucleotides) under Paraburkholderia ferrariae. RNAcentral's name for it is "bacterial SSU rRNA". It matches the Rfam family "Bacterial small subunit ribosomal RNA", at positions 415 to 902 of the family's 1533-position model. The record is from RNAcentral. Lineage: Bacteria; Pseudomonadati; Pseudomonadota; Betaproteobacteria; Burkholderiales; Burkholderiaceae.
CCUUCGGGUUGUAAAGCACUUUUGUCCGGGAAGAAAUCCCCUGCCCUAAUACGGCGGGGGGAUGACGGUACCGGAAGAAUAAGCACCGGCUAACUACGUGCCAGCAGCCGCGGUAAUACGUAGGGUGCGAGCGUUAAUCGGAAUUACUGGGCGUAAAGCGUGCGCAGGCGGUGAUGUAAGACCGAUGUGAAAUCCCCGGGCUCAACCUGGGAACUGCAUUGGUGACUGCAUUGCUCGAGUAUGGCAGAGGGGGGUGGAAUUCCACGUGUAGCAGUGAAAUGCGUAGAGAUGUGGAGGAACACCGAUGGCGAAGGCAGCCCCCUGGGCCAAUACUGACGCUCAUGCACGAAAGCGUGGGGAGCAAACAGGAUUAGAUACCCUGGUAGUCCACGCCCUAAACGAUGUCAACUGGUUGUCGGGCCUUCAUUGGCUUGGUAACGUAGCUAACGCGUGAAGUUGACCGCCUGGGGAGUACGGUCCCAAGAUUAAACUC